AUUGAACGCUGGCGGCAUGCCUUACACAUGCAAGUCGAACGGCAGCAUGGAGAGCUUGCUCUCUGAUGGCGAGUGGCGAACGGGUGAGUAAAGCAUCUGAACGUACCGUGUAGUGGGGGAUAACGUAGCGAAAGUUACGCUAAUACCGCAUACGCACUGAGGUGGAAAGCAGGGGAUCGUAAGACCUUGCGCUAUACGAGCGGCCGAUGUCAGAUUAGCUAGUUGGUAGGGUAAAGGCCUACCAAGGCGACGAUCUGUAGCGGGUCUGAGAGGAUGAUCCGCCACACUGGGACUGAGACACGGCCCAGACUCCUACGGGAGGCAGCAGUGGGGAAUUUUGGACAAGGGGGGCAACCCUGAUCCAGCCAUGCCGCGUGAGUGAAGAAGGCCUUCGGGUUGUAAAGCUCUUUCGGCCGGGAAGAAAUCGCACAGGCUAAUACCCUGUGUGGAUGACGGUACCGGCAUAAGAAGCACCGGCUAACUACGUGCCAGCAGCCGCGUAA
This 503-nucleotide ribosomal RNA is filed under the name uncultured bacterium. RNAcentral describes it as "partial 16S ribosomal RNA". It matches the Rfam family "Bacterial small subunit ribosomal RNA", at positions 30 to 522 of the family's 1533-position model. The record is from RNAcentral.